RNAcentral lists this microRNA precursor (78 nucleotides) under Microtus ochrogaster (prairie vole). RNAcentral's name for it is "miRNA (ENSMOCG00000004749.1)". Lineage: Eukaryota; Metazoa; Chordata; Mammalia; Rodentia; Cricetidae. The record is from RNAcentral.
CCUGGAACUCGCUCUGUAGACCAGGCUGGCCUCAAACUCACAGAGAUCUGCCUGCCUCUGCCUCCUGAGUGCUGGGAU